ACCACAUCAUGUUGAAACACUGGUUCCCAUAUAAUCACCAAAGUUAAGCAACAUCAAGCCUAGUUAGUAUCUAGAUGGGUGACUUCUUGGGUAUGCAGGUGGUGUAA
Molecule: non-coding RNA, 107 nt
Organism: Acanthosepion pharaonis
Lineage: Eukaryota; Metazoa; Mollusca; Cephalopoda; Sepiida; Sepiidae
Source: the annotation of a GenBank genome assembly